CCUACGGGUGGCAGCAGUGAGGAAUAUUGGUCAAUGGGCGUAAGCCUGAACCAGCCAAGUCGCGUGAGGGAUGAAGGUUCUAUGGAUCGUAAACCUCUUUUAUAAGGGAAUAAAGUGCGGGACGUGUCCCGUGUUGUAGGUACCUUAUGAAUAAGGAACGGCUAACUCCGUGCCAGCAGCCGCGGUAAUACGGAGGAUCCGAGCGUUAUCCGGAUUUAGUGGGUUUAAAGGGUGCGUAGGGUGUUUUUUAAGUCAGCGGUGAAAGUUUGUGGCUCAACCAUAAAAUUGCCGUUGAAACUGGAAGCCUUGAUUGUGUUUGAGGUAGGCGGAAUGCGUGGUGUAGCGG
RNAcentral lists this ribosomal RNA (346 nucleotides) under uncultured bacterium. RNAcentral's name for it is "partial 16S ribosomal RNA". It matches the Rfam family "Bacterial small subunit ribosomal RNA", at positions 338 to 681 of the family's 1533-position model. The record is from RNAcentral.